RNAcentral lists this ribosomal RNA (214 nucleotides) under Vibrio parahaemolyticus. Its description in RNAcentral is "partial 23S ribosomal RNA". It matches the Rfam family "Bacterial large subunit ribosomal RNA", at positions 1490 to 1699 of the family's 2925-position model. Lineage: Bacteria; Pseudomonadati; Pseudomonadota; Gammaproteobacteria; Vibrionales; Vibrionaceae. The record is from RNAcentral.
GCCUGGCGACGGUUGUCCAGGUUCAAGUGCGUAGGCUUAAGAGUUAGGUAAAUCCGGCUCUUUUUAAGGCUGAGACACGACGUCGAGCACCUACGGGUGUGAAGUCAUUGAUGCCAUGCUUCCAGGAAAAGCCUCUAAGCUUCAGAUUGUAAGGAAUCGUACCCCAAACCGACACAGGUGGUCGGGUAGAGAAUACCAAGGCGCUUGAGAGAAC